RNAcentral lists this ribosomal RNA (517 nucleotides) under uncultured archaeon. Its description in RNAcentral is "bacterial SSU rRNA". It matches the Rfam family "Archaeal small subunit ribosomal RNA", at positions 340 to 859 of the family's 1478-position model. The record is from RNAcentral.
CGCGAAACCUCUGCAAUAGGCGAAAGCUUGACAGGGUUUCUCUGAGUGAUUCCCGCUAAGGGGAUCUUUUGGCAUCUCUAAAAAUGGUGCAGAAUAAGGGGUGGGCAAGUCUGGUGUCAGCCGCCGCGGUAAUACCAGCACCCCGAGUGGUCGGGACGAUUAUUGGGCCUAAAGCAUCCGUAGCCGGUCUUGCAAGUCCUCCGUUAAAUCCAGCUGCUUAACAGAUGGGCUGCGGAGGAUACUACAAGGCUAGGAGGCGGGAGAGGCAAGCGGUACUCAGUGGGUAGGGGUAAAAUCCUGUGAUCCAUUGAAGACCACCAGUGGCGAAGGCGGCUUGCCAGAACGCGCUCGACGGUGAGGGAUGAAAGCUGGGGGAGCAAACCGGAUUAGAUACCCGGGUAGUCCCAGCUGUAAACGAUGCAGACUCGGUGAUGGGCCGGCUUUAUGCCAGCUCAGUGCCGCAGGGAAGCCGUUAAGUCUGCCGCCUGGGGAGUACGGUCGCAAGACUGAAACUUAA